Limulus polyphemus (Atlantic horseshoe crab) is the source of this 689-nucleotide long non-coding RNA. RefSeq lists it as uncharacterized. The transcript has 3 exons. The record is from RefSeq and is a predicted model, not a curated record. Lineage: Eukaryota; Metazoa; Arthropoda; Merostomata; Xiphosura; Limulidae.
GAUUCUCCAGUUAUUAUUAAAGACAGACCACUAAAUCCUUUCUUUACGUUGGAAUUGUUGGAAAAACCUUUCUCGUUUUCAGUUCUUCAACAAUGAAAUUCCUUUUUGCAACAAAUCUUAUAGCUGCUGCCAUCUAUUGGCAAUAGAAGUGUAUUUCUCUACGACAAAAUUUACGAGUUGUUGUGUGACAGUAAAGGUGUGAAGCGUUGUUUGAAAUUGUGUCCCGAAAAGUUACCACAUAACAAGUCGUAGGUCUUCUUAUCAGGAUGGCCAGAACUAGAGAUAAUAACAACCAGUAGAACUACAACAACAAGACCUUUCAUUGUUCAGGAGUUUGAAGUCAGCUCGUGCAGAAGUUCGAUAGUUUGUUCAGGAGUUUGAAGACAGCUCGUGCAGAAGUUCUUCGGUACUCUGUAGAUUUUGCUGAAGUCACCGAGACGUAGUGAGUUUAUAUUCACGGAGAAGCCUUGAUAAUGCACGUGAAAAACCUGGUCACGUGAACGAUUCAAGCCAAUGACAGUUAUUCUUUUUCCAUCUCGGAUUAUUUGUUUUACACUUACUCGAGUGAUUGUUAAAAGAUCAACUUUAGCCAUGUUGUUUUUAUUUAUGUUGCCUGAGUGUUGAAGAGCUCUAAUGUUUCUCAGAAGGAGUGUUUCUCAAGUUUGUAGAAUAAAACUGAAUUUCAAGGA